GACGAACGCUGGCGGCGUGCCUAACACAUGCAAGUCGAGCGGAAAGGCCCUUCGCGUUAUUCUAGCGCCGAACGGGUGAGUAACACGUGAGUAACCUGCUCCAGACUUUGUGAUAAUCCUCGGAAACGGGGGCUAAUACCGUAUACGACACUGCUUCGCAUGGGCUCUGGGUGCAAAGUUUUUCGGUUUGGGUUAGGUUCGUUGCCUAUCAGCUUGUUAGUGAGGUGCUGGCUUACCAAGGCGACGAUUGAUAGCCGGCCUGUGAGGGGGACCGGCCACAAGAGGACUGAGGCACGGACCAGACGCCUACGGGAGGCAGAAGUGGAAAGUAUUGCAGAGUGGGCGGAAGCGAGAUGCAGCGACGCCGCGUGAGGAAUGACGGCCUUCGGGUUGUAAACAACUGUCAGAGGAGACGAGGAGUAAGUGACGGUACCUGCAGAGGAAGCGCCGGCCAACUACGUG
Molecule: ribosomal RNA, 462 nt
Filed under: uncultured bacterium
Lineage: Bacteria
Description: partial 16S ribosomal RNA
Rfam family: Bacterial small subunit ribosomal RNA
Source: RNAcentral